RNAcentral lists this ribosomal RNA (296 nucleotides) under uncultured bacterium. Its description in RNAcentral is "partial 16S ribosomal RNA". It matches the Rfam family "Bacterial small subunit ribosomal RNA", at positions 333 to 620 of the family's 1533-position model. The record is from RNAcentral.
GGGGUCCUACGGGAGGCAGCAGUAGGGAAUCUUCGACAAUGGGGGCAACCCUGACCGAGCAACGCCGCGUGAGUGAAGAAGGUUUUCGGAUCGUAAAGCUCUGUUGUAAGAGAAGAACGUGUGCGAGAGUGGAAAGUUCACACAGUGACGGUAACUUACCAGAAAGGGACGGCUAACUACGUGCCAGCAGCCGCGGUAAUACGUAGGUCCCGAGCGUUAUCCGGAUUUAUUGGGCGUAAAGCGAGCGCAGGCGGUUGGAUAAGUCUGAAGUUAAAGGCUGGGGCUUAACCAUAGUA